Molecule: non-coding RNA, 6333 nt
Organism: Oryctolagus cuniculus (rabbit)
Lineage: Eukaryota; Metazoa; Chordata; Mammalia; Lagomorpha; Leporidae
Source: RefSeq, a predicted model, not a curated record
CCAUGCCUCAAUCAUUUCAUCUAUGACGCUGGGGCAAUGGUCUUGAGUAACCUACUGAGUUAAGAAAUCAACAUAUGGCCACAGGAGACAAAAGGGUGAGCCAGAGCUUUCAAACAGUAUGGCGUUAAGCAAUAAGGUGCCGAGGUUAGAAUGAAGACAGACUGUCUCCAAAAUGGAACAGGAUAUUUAGUGCCUGGACAACGUGAGAAGCGGAUGUUAAAAACCCUAUCACAGAGCUUCUGCGGAAGCCUUUAACGCUGAGAACGGUGCCACAGAUGCCUAAAACAGCCUCAUCUAGAGGAAAGGACCAGACCUCCCAGGCAGAACGUGCUGUGCGAUGACAAGGCCUGCGCUGCCAACGUGGGCUCAUCAGCCAUGCCUGGACCACAGAGGCAGCGCAGAUGGAGAGUGAGUAUGGCACUGUGCUCACGGACUAAGAUGAUGGCUAGAGUUCCUGACAUCAUAUCCUUGCUCCCAGCAUCAAGAAAAAGAAAGAACGGAGAUGUCGUGAGCCAAUUGUCUUACAAGGAAGGUGUCUAUGGGCUGCCGCAUGACAUUCCACUGAUAUUCCAUAUACUGGGGCUUAACCACAUGGACAAAUCAACCUGCACAGAGGAGCUGUCUCUAUUUUGGAUGGUUGGAGGCUCUGCUAUGUGGAAGACAGGGAAAAAUAGAUCAGGGAGGGGGGAGAGAGGGGUGCAGUUUCUGCACAAGCACCUUUCAGGUUGAUGAACUCCUGGGGCUUCCACUGUGUUCCCAUGUGAUUCUCCUGGCUUUUCAUACUUCGUGUUUGGGCUUCAUUCUAAUUUGGUAACUAAACCACGUAAGCGUUCCAGAAAAUGCCUGUCCCGACAGUGUGCAGACAGAAGAGGUCGCAUCUCGAUAUUCUCCUAAAGGAAGCAGGGAGAACGUCCCUCGAAGACCUAAGCAACGCUGGAUCGAGACUCCUGCUUAGUAUUGAGCCAAGCAAUGGCAAGAGGAAAGAGACUGCAUGUAGACUACACCUGUCCUCCCCCAGGCUGGGGCUGAAGCCCGUGUCCCCAGAGGAAGCUGUCUUGUCAAAACGGACAGGGAUUAUACUAGGAACAAUGAAAAGGAGGGGACAGGUGCUGAGCAGGAGACCCUGUGGUCUGGACCAAAGAGAGGUGGCACUAAAGCUUGCUGUUUAUGGCCCAUUGGCAUACAUGGUCUUUAGAUAUGUUAUUUUUUCUGGUUUUGUUUUAUUGAUGUUCUUGUUGUUUCUUAUAUCCCUUUAUCUUCUUAGUACCCAGACAUGAAUCCUUAUAAGGAGUCCAAGGAUAUCAACAGCAAACACCAUGUCCUACCGACCCCUACAAUAGACUCUUUGUGACUGGGUCAAGAUCACCAUGCUCAACUCUCUCCUCCUUUCGUCUCCACUGUCUCCCUCCCAGAGAGGCCUUCCUGACCGUCCUGUCUAGAGGAGUGAUUUCUCCAAGUCAGUUUCAACCGUAGCCACGUGUGCUGGCAGCCACAGCAGGUGUUAGUAUUGAAAACGGUCUUGGUCACUCCUCCCUGGAAAAUAUAAACACCGGGAAUGGGGAUCUCGACUGUACGCCUUUCCAGCACCCACGAGAAUGUUGGUCAGGUGUUGAGUCAGUCCUACAGAAAUUCACCCAUUUCCAGAUGCUAUCUCCGACCCACCACCAGGGGAUGAUCCAGCAACCCUACCCCUGACCCCAACUGAAAAUCCCGCAAAAGCCGAUAGGAAGCUCUUCUAUGCCCUCAAGCCUCACCACGUGGCUCCAGGCAGGAGUUGACCGCUGGGAAGCUGCCCCAUCCUGCUCCCAAGGACACUGAAUGGCCUGGAGCUGACGUUAAUGCCCAGUGCAUUAACUCUCCACUUCACUGGGUUCAUUCUCCAGUAGCCUUCCCCACAACUGGCUUUUCUCAUCCCCACCAGAACGGGGUGCUCCUAGCAGCCCCAGAUCCUUAGCUAGUGCAUCAUGUUCAUCCUCAUUUUCCAACGAGGAAACUGAGGCUGGAGUAAUUAAACAGCUUUGUCAAGGCUCACAGCACCAAGUGCUUGAACUGGAAUCCAGAAGUCAUGCUAACGCAAACAUGUUGCGCCGCCUCUCGUAAGCCCGGACGAUGCCAGGACAAGUACAGAUGUGGGUCUGAUGGAAAACAUCUAUCAAGAGACUUCGCAAAGGCUUAGGAGUCACUCAGGAAUGCUGUUGUGGUCAAGUGACAGUUGAUGGCAGCUACUCACGCUGACAGAGCAUCCUCCUUUGGGUUGGGACAGCCCCACGGGAGACUUCCCCGUGUUGAUUCCUCUCCCAGUAGCUUCUCUGGCCACCCCUGCCUAUUGGGGGAUGGGAAUGGCCCAGGGCACCACCCUCAUCAUCUCUGGAAAAGUCCACCCUGACGUUAAGCCAGAAAAAACAUUGUCUAUACUCAUAAAUUAGCAAAGCAAACCUCUUGCUGCAAGAGAUGGGCUUGCUUCUUUGGGUGGGAGGGGGCUUUUGGCUGACUUCCCCUGCAUCCUAUCGUAUCGCUGUCAUCCCUGCAACCCACACAAACACGGCCCAGACCCCAAGAUGUAAUGAUUAACUGCCUCUUUUUUAGUUCAUUAGCAAUUCUGCUGUAUUAAUAGAUUAUCAAGAGCAGCUUCAGUAUGUCAUAAAAUCUGUUUGGUAUUAACUUGAUACACGAUGUGUUUUUCUCCAUCCAGCUAAAUAGUUUUCCUUAAAUCUGGACCAGAUGAGCACUCUGGGACUCGCAUGAGCUCAUGUGUGUGUGAGCAUGGAAUGCAGUGCGUUGGGUCCCCUUGGACGUGGGGAGCACGUGUUUGGCACAAACAGAAACAUCCUUAGGCACUGAUGCCUCAAUUAAGGGAAAGAUAAAGACGCAAGAUCAGAUAGGGCAUCUGCAAAACGUUAAUUUCCGGGGGAUGCCCUCUAUUUAAGUCAUUUUUCGGGUCGGCUUGGUGGCUGGUUUAGGCAAAAUCGUGCAGAGCAUGAAAUUGUCUUGAUUCACCGUCCCUUUGGGAGCAGCAUCCCUUCCCCUCCCCUAAUCCCUGCUAAUUAUGCCUUCUCCCGCCUCCAGCUCACCAAGGCCCCCUCGCUCACUCACUCAGUUGGUCUCUUCUGAGUCUAUUCUGUUUUAGGUGCAGGGGGUUGGGGGAAGAAGACAAAGAACGGUCUUGCAUCUAAGGGCAGGAGACAGAAAGGUGGAAGAAAAAGACAACUGACCUACACGGGACAUGAACCCCUCCUGGAAGAGACAAAGACUCCAAACCAGGACAGGAGAGACUUCCUAGAGGGAGCACGCAGCUUCAAUAGAACUUUGAACAUUCCAGCAUCAGGGCUGCCACUGGCAGCUUUGUGCAAAUGAUAAAAAGGCACCACCAUGGCCAGAGCAAGUCCCGUGCAGGGCACACAGCGUGAGAGACCCAGGCUCACUGCUGCGUGUAGUCUACUCUCCCUUCUAGCCUGGUGCCCCUGUGAAGUCAGCGACCGGCACAGCUGGGUCCCUGGGAUGACACAUGUAGAAGAGAGUACUUCAAAAAACUCAGGGAGGCAGACAGCACUAUGGGUAAAGCCGCAGCCUGCAGGGCCAGCAUCCCAUAUGGGCACCAGUUCGAGUCCCAUCUGCUCCACUUCCGAUCCAGCUCUCUGCUAUGGCCUGGGAAAGCAGUAGAAGAUGGCCCAAGUCCUUGGGCCUCUGCACCUCUGUGGAGGACCCCGAAGAAGCUCCUGGCUGCUGGCUUAGGAUCGGCACAGCUCCGGCCAUUGCAGCCAAUUGGGGAAUAAACCAGUGGAUGGAAGACCUCUCUCUCUCUCUGUCUGCCCGUCCUUCUCUCUCUGUGUAACCCUUUCAAAUGAAUAAAUAAAUCUUUUUAAAAAAUCAGAGAGAAAUGGAAUUAAAAGAUAAGCUCAUAUUGGUGCAAAGAAUUUCUAAAAUUCCUGCAUUUUUUUCAUAAUACACAUUUUCUUGAACUUUUUGAAGAUCCCUUCAGAUUCCCAAAAUUUUUUGCAACAACAAUUUUUAAAGAUUGAUUGGUUGAUUUGAAAGGCAGAGAGAGAGAGAGAAGAGCAGAGAGAGAGAUCUUUCAUCCACUGGUUUACUCCUCAAAUGACCACAGCAGCUAGGCUGAAGCCAGGGGCCAGAAGCUUCCUCCAGGUCUCCCACAUGGAUGCAGGGGCCCAAGCACUUUGGCCAUCCUCUGCUGCUUUCUCAGACGCAUUAGCACGGAGCAGGAUCAAUAGUGGGUUAGCUAGGACUUGAACUGGGAUCCACGUGGGAUGCCAGUUCUGCAGGCGGUAGCUUAACCCGCUGUGCCUCAGCACCAGCCCCCAAUUUCAUGUUUCACACAAAAUUUCUGCAGUAUCCUCUUACUAGUUUCCUAGGGCUGUUACACGGAGAGGCUUAAAACAAUAGGAAUUCCUUGUCUCCCCAUUCUGGAGACCAGAUGUCCAAACCACGAUGUAGGGCCCACCACGGUUCUUCUGGACAUCUGGGAGAACAGGACUGGCCUCUUCCAGCUCCCAGAGGCUCCAGGCCAUUCUUGAUUUGAGGCUGCACAUUCCAAUCUCUGAGGACCCUCUCUCCAAAUAAGGUCAUGUUCUCAGGUUCUGGAAGCUAGGUCAUAAGCAUCUUUUUGCUUUUUAAUUGUAAAAAAAACCCAACAAUUUAUUUUACUUGUUCGAAAGGCAGAGUUUGAGAAAGAAAGAGAGAGAGAGAGAGAGAGAGAGAGGUCUUCCAUCCACUGGUUCACUACCCAAUUGGCCAAAAAGGCUGAAGCUGGACAAGGCUGGAGCUGUGACCCCGGAGCUUCAUCUGGGUCUCCCAUGUGAGUGGCAGGGCCCAAGCACUUGGGCCAUCUUCCACUGCUUUCCCAGGAUGUUAUAGGGAACUGGAUCAGAAGUGGAGCAGCCAGGACUUGAACUGGCGUCCACAUGGAAUGCCAGCAUUGCAGGCAGUGGCUGAACCUGCUGUGCUACAAUGUAGGUCACAAUUUUUAUUUAUUUAUUUGAAAGGCAGAGAGAGAGAGAGAGAGAAAGAGAGCAAGAGAGAGCUCCCAUCUGCUGGUUCAUUCUCCAAAUGCCUAUAACAGCCAGGGCUGGACCAAGCUGAAGCCAGAAGCCUGGAACUCAAUCCAGGUCUCCCUCUUGAGUGACAGAGACUGUAGCCAUCACCUGCUGCCUCCCAGAGGGAGUGAGAGCAGGCAGAAGUCCCCACAGCCACCAGAAACUGGAGAGGCGGGGAAGGACUAUUCCUGGAGCCUGUGGACAGAGCGCAGCCCACACCUCGAUUCCAGACUUUUGAGAAUAAUUUUCUGCUGUUUUAAGGCACAAAGCUUGUGGUCAUUUGCCUUGGCAGCCCUAGGAAACUACUGAACAUUAACAAUGCGCAUGACAUGCUCUUAACGUUGAUAGCAAGGAACAGGCGAGUAAUGAGGUGCACGGAGCAGAGUCUGGGCACUCUGUAGUGGUAACUGCUCUUGUUCUAAAAAGAGGAGCCGGUGGCCUGGCUCUCACUGCUCUGCCAUCUUCCUGCAGCGGUGCCGCCAGGGACCACGCUGUUGUGACCUUGGAAAUGAGUUUGCUAAUCCCUCCACCUGUUCUCUCUGGCAUGCUAGAGUACCCUCAGGGAGCCAGCGGGCUUCAGAGCUGCUGUCUCUUGAUACUGAUCAUGCAAUAAACAUGGCAGGCUGGGUAGUCAGCCAGAGAGAAGUCCUUUGGCCAUUAUAAGCAUGAUCUAAUGCACUGAUCACCUUGCCUGCCGACGGUGGCCAAGUAGGCUUGUGACUGGCCAGUCCCCAAAACAAGUGAACCCCUGUUACAAAGGAUCCUGCCACAUGGCUUCAGCUGUCCUGAAGACUGGCUUAAGUCUCAGUCCCUGGAAUGUAAUAAUGACAUAGAACUCGUGUCCUUGAGUUUAUCACAACUUUCCCACCUCACCCUUUCUUAGAAAUAUGCGAAUAAAAUAACUCCACUUGCAAACCAUGAGCCUUCAGAAAGGACUAGGUAUCUUUCUUUACCCCCAAGGCGAUGCUAACAGGAGGUUUUCUGGCUCAACUAAAAACUUGAAGGACUUUCAGUACGGAAGCACCCUAAGCCCUUGGGCCAUAUCCCAACCAACCCAACUGGUCAUGAAAGACCUUGACCUCCAGGCUCCGGAGCUCUUGCCACGUAGGCUCCCUGCUCCUGCUCAUCCCCAGCAAGGGCUUUUGCUCUACUGCAUCUCUUCCCACCCCCACGUGAGCUGAGUCUCAGCAGCUUCUUCCCUCCAUCCCCCAGAGGAAGCCCAAGUCCCUUAGCCUCAGUGCGAGCCCCGCCCCCUUUUACCUUGUUUGGCACAGAACUCAAG